CGGAGGAUCCAAGCGUUAUCCGGAAUCAUUGGGUUUAAAGGGUCCGUAGGCGGUUUGGUAAGUCAGUGGUGAAAGCCCUUCGCUCAACGGAGGAACGGCCAUUGAUACUGCCAGACUUGAAUUACUGGGAAGUAACUAGAAUAUGUAGUGUAGCGGUGAAAUGCUUAGAUAUUACAUGGAAUACCAAUUGCGAAGGCAGGUUACUACCGGUGGAUUGACGCUGAUGGACGAAAGCGUGGGGAGCGAACAGGAUUAGAUACCCUGGUAGUCCACGCCGUAAACGAUGGAUACUAGCUGUUGGGCGCAAGUUCAGUGGCUAAGCGAAAGUGAUAAGUAUCCCACCUGGGGAGUACGUUCGCAAGAAUG
RNAcentral lists this ribosomal RNA (366 nucleotides) under uncultured organism. RNAcentral's name for it is "bacterial SSU rRNA". It matches the Rfam family "Bacterial small subunit ribosomal RNA", at positions 526 to 896 of the family's 1533-position model. The record is from RNAcentral.